UAAUAAUAAUACUAAAAUAAAAAAUAAAAUAAAACAAAACAAAAGAAAUGGUUUCUCUGGAGAGUAACUUUCCUUGACACUGAGGUCGCUCACAGUCAUUUCUCCCAGGGGUCCUCUCUUAGGGGUCACAGACUGGGAAUAAGUGGAGAGCAGUUCCUUGUUGCACUAGACUGUGCUUCUUAUACUGACUCCCAGUGGAAGGCAUUGGGAGGAGCGCAAUGCAUGUGCCUGUCUUGGGUCCUGGUACAUAGAGGGUGCUCUCUCUGAUGGGCCACUUAUGGUAUUGGGGUGAUUGUCUCCUUGCAGGAGAAGGGCUGGAAUCUAAUACAGCUUUUAUCCCACAGCUUUCCUCUGUGGCUUGAUUUCACCUUCUGCCAAUCCAACCUGCUCCUCUCUCUUUGCUAGUCUGAAGCUUCUGUCAGGGGUGCCUCUUGGUGGCUCUGAGAUGGAGAUGAGGCAGACAGAUCGGGCUGUUCUCAGGAAGCCCAAAUCCUCCUCCUGGAACUCUGCAUAGUUGGCUCAGUGACAUUUCAUCUCUCUGGGUUCUGUCCCAGGGAGAAAACAUGUGGGCAUUCUCUAAUAACUUGAGCAUAGCUCCCUCCUGCCUUCCUUUGUUUUUCCUUCCUGGGCAAAUGAAAGGCAGUAUGAAUGAAAGUUUCUAUUCUGAUGGGAAAACUCACUCUGGCCUUGUAAUGAGCUAGAAUAAUUGAUUUGUCGAUGAAAACCGAGUCUGUGGAAUUGAUGCUUAGUGUCAAAACAGUCCAGAUCACUUUGGUACCAAUUCAUUGUCGCUGGAGGGAAGCUGUUAGCCAGGAGCCCAGUGAGAAAGGAGUAGGCUGAGUUGAAACAUGAAAAGAUUUGAUUGUGCUAAAGCUCUCCAGCACAGAAUUGCCCUGUUGGGAUCUGAUUUCAGUGCUCCAGAUCGAAGGUCCCGGCUAAUAUUUUCUUUCUUUCCUUUCUCAUGAGGGUAGAAAUAACUUGGCAAUUGCCCCAUUGCAGCUACUGUUUGAACGUGGAUAUUAAUUUAAUCUGGAGUUCUGUUACUCUUUAAAUAUUUAGGGGUUUGGCUGAGGCCUUUGUGCUCUUACAAUGCAAUAGACAGUAAAAAUGGAGUUGGAAUGUUUCUACUCAUUUUAGAAAGGGCAGGGAUUCUUGGCCCCCUUUCCCGCACACCCUGCCCCACCCCAUUUUCAUUCCUUCAUCUUCUGACUGCAGCUCCUGAUGAAAAUCAAAAGUUAUUUCGACAUAUAUGGACAGAUGCCAUGGGGUGGAGGAGAAAGAGAGUAUACUUUAGAAUCAGACGGAUCCACAAGGGAAUGUUCUAAUCCUGGCUCCUUCACCAUGAGCUGUGCAAAUUUGGGAAUCUGGCCGAACUCCAGGGCUGCCUAUCAUGAGCAGCCUUGUUUGCUUGCAAUUUGCAGAGUUGCAAGGGGUAAAGGACUGGCUUUGACUAUUCAAUCUUUCAGUCGCUGGAAAGGCAGCAGAGAGGGCAUGGGGACAGACACGCCUGGAUGAGGAACUCCAGCUCCACCUACUUAACAGCUGUGUGAUCUUGGAUGUGCCAUUUAUUCUCUUGCCUCAGUUCGUUCAUCUGUGAAGUGGAGCAAGCAUCACAUCCCUGGUGGUUGUGAAGAUUAACCAUGAUCAUGUUGCAUCACAUCUUGCCUGGAUGACUGCAGUAGCCACUAAGCUGGUCGCAGAGUGAGCUUUCUUAAAUGCAAAUGUAAGGAUGGCAGAGCCUCAAGUGCUUCAGUUUCUCCAAGUGCCUAUUCCCUGAGUGGCAUGACACUGAAGGCCCUCUGAGUCUGCAGCUAUCUUUCCACUCUCAUUGGUGUGUGCACCUGGAGCUGUCACUUUUUCAAUAAUGCAUUUCUGACUCCCUCAUCAACAAAGGUAUUUACUCCUUCCUCUUUGCUGCCAGUAAACCACUGAGAACAUGCCUUCCUUUGGUAUUUCAAUGGCAUUUGUAAUUAUGUGUCUUUCCCUGUCUUCCUCACUGAUCUGUGAACUCCAGCACGCAGGAAACUUGUCUUAUUCUCUUUCACAUCAAACAGGGUCUGGCCCUAAUAAGUACUAAAGAAAUGUUUGCUGAAUGAAUAAACACUAAUAUUUCUUGAGCUCUUCUUGCUUUUUCUCAAUACUAUCUCUUAGAAUCCUCACAAGAGCCUUGUGGCAUAGACACUGUUCUAUCCCCACUUUAUAGAUUUGGCAGCUGAUGGCACAGAGAAGUUAAGUCACUUGCCUAAGGUCACAGAACUUGACAGGAUUUGAACCCUGGCCUGGCAGUUAGGCUUUAUGGUAUAUAUCAAACUCUAACUCCCAUGAUAAUAAUGAGCAAAUGAAUGAAUGAAUGAAUGAAUGCAGUGAGUUUGCAUGAACUGAAGAUAGGAAAAGGAAAUGCUACAUGACUUUAUCAAACCCAUUGGUAGGGUUUAUAAAAGAAAAACACAAAGAUUCCAGGAGACCUGGCAGAGAUGGAAACUAUGGAGGAUCAACAUCCCGCAGAGUUCAGGCAGUUUAAAGCAAGUGGAAAAUCAGACCCUCUUAUGAAUUGCUGGGAGUGCUCAAAGAAGAAGCCAUAGGGCUGGGCACGGUGGCUCAUGCCUGUAAUCCCAGCACU
Molecule: long non-coding RNA, 2620 nt
Organism: Cercocebus atys (sooty mangabey)
Lineage: Eukaryota; Metazoa; Chordata; Mammalia; Primates; Cercopithecidae
Exons: 4
Source: RefSeq, a predicted model, not a curated record